Molecule: ribosomal RNA, 400 nt
Filed under: uncultured prokaryote
Description: bacterial SSU rRNA
Rfam family: Bacterial small subunit ribosomal RNA
Source: RNAcentral
UAGGGAAUAUUGGUAAUCUGGGAAACCGGGAACCAGCAACGCCGCGUGAGCGAAGAAGGCCUUUGGGUCGUAAAGCUCUGUCCGAGGGGAAGAUAAUGACGGUACCCUUGGAGGAAGCCCCGGCUAACUACGUGCCAGCAGCCGCGGUAAUACGUAGGGGGCGAGCGUUAUCCGGAAUUAUUGGGCGUAAAGAGUGCGUAGGUGGUUCUUUAAGCGUGAGGUGAAAGGCAAUGGCUUAACUAUUGUAAGCCUUGCGAACUGGAGAACUUGAGUGCAGGAGAGGUAAGUGGAAUUCCUAGUGUAGCGGUGAAAUGCGUAGAUAUUAGGAGGAACACCAGUGGCGAAGGCGACUUACUGGACUGUAACUGACGCUCAGGCACGAAAGCGUGGGGAUCAAACA